Long non-coding RNA from Thalassophryne amazonica, 1245 nucleotides. RefSeq lists it as uncharacterized. The transcript is spliced from 3 exons. NCBI's taxonomy places the organism in Eukaryota, Metazoa, Chordata, Actinopteri, Batrachoidiformes, Batrachoididae. The record is from RefSeq and is a predicted model, not a curated record.
ACAGCAAAAAAACAGAGCUGGACUUGACAAGAGCCAACACUCCUCAAUGUUUUAAAAUAAUUUAAAAUAAGUGGAAAAGUUUGACGGACGUAAGCUGGCAGCACAGACUUCUUGUGUCCGGAGUCAGCAGGUCAGUAGAGCAAAUUAAAAACCGCUGGGAAGCAACGAGCGCUUUCUACAAGGAGAAGCUAAACGAGCAGAAGCGGCGCGGCUCCAACCAGCUUCACUUAAUAUGAAUUAAUGGAUAAUAAUCGGAGGACGACCCUCUCCAAGGAGCACACUGGAGUAGAAGUCGGUUUUCCACCGGAGGAAAGUUAACCCGAGACACCGGAAAGUCUGGAGAUGAUGAUGCUGAUGAUGAUGAUGAUGAUGUAAACAGCACAUCGGAGGAGAUUGAUGACAGCAGCUCAACACAACCUGAAGACCACACAGAGGAGGCUCCAGACAAAAAGAUCUAAAGCCAUCAUCUGGUGAUGCCACGCUCCUGGGUGAUCGAUCAGCCCAGCAGAGAUCUUUCCUGGACAACAUGCAACAGCAGCAUGAGAGGAAUCUGGAAAGAGAAGACAGGCUUCUUUCCAGGUUUAUGGAAGAAAGUUCCCGCUCAACUGAAAGCAUCAUAGGGUAACGGUUUGAUGGUCUACUCAUCAGCUCCACAUUUACAUGAACAAAGUUAGUCUGGGACCUCGCUGAGAUAAGCAUGUAACAGCCCGAAAACGACCACUCGUCCCAAGCGUUACUUCAAAUACAGCUGGAUUUUCUAAACUGCAGCAGCUGUAGGUUUUCCCAGGUACUCGGUAUGCUCAGAAUGACCAGUACAUGUUUAGAAGGGUCAUAGAAGAGUGUAAAAUUUCUCAUUUUUAUAUUUUAAGAAAAAAAGUUAGGUCAAACGACCUACAUAUAGUCUGGAAUCGCCACAUAUUUAGUAUCUUAAACUUUCUAUUGUGGAUGUUCCUUGAUAAUCUUUAAAACAUUUAAGACCUCUAGAUACUGCUGUUUGCCAAAGACACAAGGUUUGUUUUGUAUUUUCCACUUUAAAUGCAUAUUCCAUUGAUAACAGGACUGAAAAUAAAAAUUUCAUAUUUGGAAAAUGUUCAUUUUCUUUGGAUGUGUGGUAAUACGUUGAUCCACUUAUUUUAGCCAUUUUCUCUUAAAAUGUCAAAAUAGAAAUUUUACAGUUUUCUUUGGCCCUCCCAAAGAUGUACUGGUCAUUUUCAACAUGUUCAACACCCUGGAAAAUCUCUAGCU